This 1235-nucleotide long non-coding RNA is filed under the name Homo sapiens (human). RNAcentral's name for it is "HSALNT0092463". The record is from RNAcentral. Lineage: Eukaryota; Metazoa; Chordata; Mammalia; Primates; Hominidae.
UGAUCCUUUCACAACUUCAUAAGCCACCCCAACUUGCAGCAACUACCAUCCUCAUCAGUCAGCAGCCAUCAGCAUUGAGGAAAGAUCCUUCACCAGCAAAAACAUAACACUUCCCAGAAAUAUCCUACAAUAUUUUAACAUUUUGUGGAAGGCUCAGUUGAUUGUUAGUGUUUUUAGCAAUAAAGUACGUUUAAAUUAAGGUAUCUCAGAUAUAAUGCUAUUGCACACACAAUAGACUACAGUACGGUGUAAAGAUAACUUUAAUACUUACUGAAAAACCAAAGAAUUUGUGUGACUUUAUUGUGUGCAUCUGAAACUGAACGUGCAUUAUCUCGGAGAUAUGCCUGUAUUAGCAAAUAUAAUUCAGCAAUAUAGUAUAGACAGAUAAGUGAAGUUUAUCCCAGAAAAGGAAGAAUAGAUUAUUUGUACUAAAUGUGUUAAUGCACUUUACCUUCCUAAUAUAGAAAAUGGACAAAUACAAUACAGAGAAAAUUCACAAAAGAAAACAAUGACAAUAAACAUUAUGGGGAAAAAAAGAGAGAGAAAGAGAAUGGACCACUCUAGAUAUCAAAUAAAUACAUAUUUAAACAACAAAAUGAAAUUUUUGCCUCAACUUGUUGAUGAUUGAAAUCAUUUAUAAUUAGUGACAUAGAGGCUUUAAGUACACAAGCAUGUAUUUUAUUUUAGUCUUUUUAAGAGCAAUUAUUAAUAUAUAAUUUUUAUAAGUGAGUUUUUUUAAUUUAGGAAUUUUACUGCUAGAAAUUUAGCCUAUAGAAAUAAUUACCAGUAUGCUCUAAGAUUUAACUACAAUAAUAUUCAAAAUAUUUUAAAACAAUGCAAUAAAAGAUUGGUUAAAUAAACAAAAUGUAUUGCAUACUUAAUGUUAUUUAAUAAUACUGUUGAAUAAUGCACUUUCAGAUGUUGGGAUAUUCUUCAUAAAGAAAAACGUACUAGUCAUUAUAAUGUACUCAAUAAAAGAUAAAGUUAACUUAUAAAGCAGUAUGCUCCCAUAUUUCUAAGGCAAAGGGCUACAUUAAGGAAACACACACAAAUGUAGGGACAAAAUAACAUACAUGUGCAUUAUUCUCUGAAGAGAAUGUAUAAAUUUCAAUGGAUUUUCAACGGCAGUUAAAAAUCUCCAAAAGUUCAAAACCAUAGAAAAUAAUAAUGAGAAUGAUCUUGCAAAUUAGAGGACACUAGUGAUUUUAAAUUUCUCCUUCUUGGAUGUUAAAUUA